GGGCCAAUCUUUCUCACACACACAAAAAAACUGGAAUGAUACAGAGAAGACUAGUACAAGCCCUGUGCAAGGAUGACAGACAAAUCCCUAAAGCAUAUUUUUAAAUUU
This is a small nuclear RNA of Equus caballus (horse), 108 nucleotides long. NCBI's taxonomy places the organism in Eukaryota, Metazoa, Chordata, Mammalia, Perissodactyla, Equidae. The record is from Ensembl.